RNAcentral lists this ribosomal RNA (252 nucleotides) under Barnesiella intestinihominis YIT 11860. RNAcentral describes it as "partial 16S ribosomal RNA". It matches the Rfam family "Bacterial small subunit ribosomal RNA", at positions 524 to 776 of the family's 1533-position model. The record is from RNAcentral. Lineage: Bacteria; Pseudomonadati; Bacteroidota; Bacteroidia; Bacteroidales; Barnesiellaceae.
UACGGAGGAUGCGAGCGUUAUCCGGAUUUAUUGGGUUUAAAGGGUGCGCAGGCGGCGCGUCAAGUCAGCGGUAAAAAUGCGGCGCUCAACGCCGUAGAGCCGUUGAAACUGGCGCGCUCGAGUAUGUGCGAGGAAGGCGGAAUGCGUGGUGUAGCGGUGAAAUGCAUAGAUAUCACGCAGAACCCCGAUUGCGAAGGCAGCUUUCCAGCACACGACUGACGCUGAGGCACGAAAGCGUGGGUAUCGAACAGG